GCUUAUUCUCAGGGCGGGGCGUAAUUCCCCACCGGCGGUAAACCAGUCCAUACACGGUAUGAGGUUGGAAGCCCGCGAGCGCUCAGACUGUCGUAUUAGGUUUGAGGUCAGCAGAUCCGGUGAAAUUCCGGGGCCGACGGUUAAAGUCCGGAUGGGAGAGAGUAACG
Molecule: regulatory RNA element, 167 nt
Organism: Lonsdalea quercina
Lineage: Bacteria; Pseudomonadati; Pseudomonadota; Gammaproteobacteria; Enterobacterales; Pectobacteriaceae
Rfam family: FMN riboswitch aptamer (RFN element)
About the family: The RFN element is a highly conserved domain that is found frequently in the 5'-untranslated regions of prokaryotic mRNAs that encode for flavin mononucleotide (FMN) biosynthesis and transport proteins.
Source: Rfam